UACGGAGGGGGCUAGCGUUGUUCGGAAUUACUGGGCGUAAAGCGCGCGUAGGCGGCUUUGUAAGUUAGAGGUGAAAGCCCGGAGCUCAACUCCGGAACUGCCUUUAAGACUGCAUCGCUAGAAUUGUGGAGAGGUGAGUGGAAUUCCGAGUGUAGAGGUGAAAUUCGUAGAUAUUCGGAAAGAACACCAGUGGCGAAGGCGAACUCACUGGACACAGUAUUGACGCUGAGGUGUAGAAAGCGAUGGGGAGCAAACAGGGAUUAAGAA
This 267-nucleotide ribosomal RNA is filed under the name uncultured bacterium. Its description in RNAcentral is "partial 16S ribosomal RNA". It matches the Rfam family "Bacterial small subunit ribosomal RNA", at positions 524 to 784 of the family's 1533-position model. The record is from RNAcentral.